CUCGAACUCCUGGACUCAAGGAUCCAUAUGCCUCCCAAAGUUUUGGGAUUAGAGGCAUGAGCCACCACACCCGGCCCUCAACACUUUAUUCCACAGUAGGCUUUGUGUUAGAUGAUUUUGCCCAACUAUAGACUAAUAUAAGUGUUCUGAGCAUUUUAAGGUAAGCGAGGCUAAGCUAUGAUGUUUGGUAGGUUAGGUAUAGUAAAUGCAUUUUCUACUUAUGAUAUUUUUCAACUUACAAUGGGUUUAGUGGGAUGUAACCCCAUCACAAGUAGAGGAGCAUCUGUAUAUGAGUCACCUGGCCAUGGGCAUCUUCUUAAAAUACGGCUCUGAAACUGUAGGUCUAGGGUGGGGCCUGAGAUCCUGCAUUUCUAACAAGCUUUCAGGGAUGUCCAAGCUGCUGGCACACAGGCCAGUCUUUCAGAAGCAAGUCUCCUAGGGGACAGUGGAGCUGGAGAAUGAAAGGAACACAGGGCUCUGAAUCACUGCACAAGAAAAGCCACCUCUUCAACCAGCAACUUCUGACCUGUCACCUGAGUGAGGAAUAAGCUUUUUGGGGGCGUUGAAGGGUGAGGGUUAUUUGUCACAGCAGCUAGUCUUCUAGAAGUAGUUCAAAUGAUUCACUGCUGCUCUUUUCAAUAUCUUGGCAGGGUAAUUCAGGACAAAAUCAUCCCCGCUGCCCCUUCCCCUUAGCGAGGCUGUGUGUUCCAGAUGACUGCUUUAUGUUUUAAGCAAACAUUCAUGGUGUGGAGGCCGAGCCCAUCUAAGGAAUCCUGACCAGCUGGACACCAUGUACCUGAAUUCAGCCAAGGAUAUUAGUGGAAAGUUUUUCCCUUCGUUUGUGCAAGGAAAGCUAGAACAAGAAGGCCUGCCCUGUCAUUGUAGCUCUGCUCCUGCCCUUGCCUUCCCAAAAUAAGAGCCAGGGCCAGGCCUCCUCAAGCCCUGCUGGCUUCAGAGGCUGGGCCUGAGCAUGAGGAGGAGAAAGUCCAGGGGAAAGAGUUAUUGGACUUAUUUUGGAUAAAGCACCUGAAGGAGUCCCAGAAGCUUAGCUUUAAUCCCAAGGGAUGCUCAAAUAACAAUAUCAGGCUCCUGUGUCAGAACUUUGUGGACACAGGUGCAAGCAAACCUGAGGAAAAUCACAAAUUGCCCACUCUGACUCAUCAGAGCUGCUUGCCAGGCUGAAAGCCAUUCCUACUCAGUGAUAUGGUUUGGUUGUGUCCCUACCCAAAUCUCACCUUGAAUUAUAACUCCCACAAUUCCCACAUGUCAUGGGAGGAACCCUGUGGGAGGUGAUUGAAUCAUGGGAUAGGGUCUUUCCUUUGCUGUUCUUGUGAUAGUGAAUAAGUCUCAUGAGAUCUGAUGGUUUUAAAAAUGGGAGUUUCCCUGUACAAGCUCUUUUUGCUUGCUGCCAUCCAUGUAAGACAUGACUUGUUCCUCCUUGCCUUCCACCAUGAUUGUGAGGCCUCCACAGCCACGUGGAACUUUAAGUCCAUUAAACCCUUUUUCCUGUAUAAAUUACCCAGUCUCAGGUAUGUCUUUAUCAGCAGUGUGAAAACGGACUAAUACACUCAGGGAAAUGAUGUUGGAUUUAGAGAAGAGACCAGUUCUAAAAAAAUUAUUCAACCUUCAGCAAGCAUUCACUGAGAACCUAUUCUACGGUAGGCAUAGCAAAUAUUAAUUCCACAGACAUAAAAUCAACUUUCAAUCCACACCUUGGUGUUGGAGAAAACGUCUGAGAACUUGGAAAGUGAGGGUUGUGAGUUGGUGUACUGAUGACACCUGUCCAGGAAGGUUCAUCACAGAAUUGUAGAUGUACCAGUGAGGCCUCCUGAGCCCUCCCAGAAAGGCUCAUGCCUGCCCCAAGACAGAAGUUCAGGAAGGCUGAGCUUGGUGUCUCCAGCCUCCAGGGCUCGGGAGCCUGGACACAGCACAGGACACAGAGGAUGGAGAGUAAGGAGAGGAGGAACUGAGGCCAGGGGAGAAAAGUGGGGUAGGGAGCACAAUGGUGGUCUCCACAAGGCCCGUCCCCUCUGAAGUCUCUACUCCAUUGCCAGAGUGUUAUUUACAAGAAACCCACAUCACAUCAGGUUGUUCUGCCCAAUUAGAACCCAUCAGCAGUCUCCUGCUGCCUUUUGAAUGGAGGCCCACAUACUGGCCAAGGCCGAUUAGGCCCUGUGUGAUCUGGAUUCUGCGGCUCCCAGCCUCCUGCUGGUGACUUCUUUCUCAUCCUCUGUGCCUGAGGCAACUGGCUUCUGUCGGGGCCUCAGAUUUGCUAGCCUGAUCACUACACCAUUCCUUCUUGGGUAAUCAAGCCCUGCGGUUGGCCCGCGCCUGGGAGGUUUGCUGGAAUGUGGAUUUUUAGUUUGAAAAUCAGGACGGUCACUGGCUAAUGGGUGAGUUGAUCAUCCUGGUUCCCUCAGGCCCUGACUCUCCCCCAGACGCUUCUGUUCCACAG
RNAcentral lists this long non-coding RNA (2455 nucleotides) under Homo sapiens (human). Its description in RNAcentral is "HSALNT0124720". Lineage: Eukaryota; Metazoa; Chordata; Mammalia; Primates; Hominidae. The record is from RNAcentral.